This 1436-nucleotide ribosomal RNA is filed under the name uncultured bacterium. Its description in RNAcentral is "bacterial SSU rRNA". It matches the Rfam family "Bacterial small subunit ribosomal RNA". The record is from RNAcentral.
ACGCUAGCUACAGGCUUAACACAUGCAAGUCGAGGGGCAGCAUGGUCUUAGCUUGCUAAGGCCGAUGGCGACCGGCGCACGGGUGAGUAACACGUAUCCAACCUGCCGUCUACCCUUGGACAGCCUUCUGAAAGGAAGAUUAAUACAAGAUGGCAUCAUGAGUCCGCGUGUUCACAUGAUUAAAGGUAUUCCGGUAGACGAUGGGGAUGCGUUCCAUUAGAUAGUAGGCGGGGUAACGGCCCACCUAGUCUUCGAUGGAUAGGGGUUCUGAGAGGAAGGUCCCCCACAUUGGAACUGAGACACGGUCCAAACUCCUACGGGAGGCAGCAGUGAGGAAUAUUGGUCAAUGGGCGAGAGCCUGAACCAGCCAAGUAGCGUGAAGGAUGACUGCCCUAUGGGUUGUAAACUUCUUUUAUAAAGGAAUAAAGUCGGGUAUGGAUACCCGUUUGCAUGUACUUUAUGAAUAAGGAUCGGCUAACUCCGUGCCAGCAGCCGCGGUAAUACGGAGGAUCCGAGCGUUAUCCGGAUUUAUUGGGUUUAAAGGGAGCGUAGAUGGAUGUUUAAGUCAGUUGUGAAAGUUUGCGGCUCAACCGUAAAAUUGCAGUUGAUACUGGAUAUCUUGAGUGCAGUUGAGGCAGGCGGAAUUCGUGGUGUAGCGGUGAAAUGCUUAGAUAUCACGAAGAACUCCGAUUGCGAAGGCAGCCUGCUAAGCUGCAACUGACAUUGAGGCUCGAAAGUGUGGGUAUCAAACAGGAUUAGAUACCCUGGUAGUCCACACGGUAAACGAUGAAUACUCGCUGUUUGCGAUAUACAGCAAGCGGCCAAGCGAAAGCGUUAAGUAUUCCACCUGGGGAGUACGCCGGCAACGGUGAAACUCAAAGGAAUUGACGGGGGCCCGCACAAGCGGAGGAACAUGUGGUUUAAUUCGAUGAUACGCGAGGAACCUUACCCGGGCUUAAAUUGCAGAUGAAUUACGGUGAAAGCCGUAAGCCGCAAGGCAUCUGUGAAGGUGCUGCAUGGUUGUCGUCAGCUCGUGCCGUGAGGUGUCGGCUUAAGUGCCAUAACGAGCGCAACCCUUGCUGUCAGUUACUAACAGGUCAUGCUGAGGACUCUGACAAGACUGCCAUCGUAAGAUGUGAGGAAGGUGGGGAUGACGUCAAAUCAGCACGGCCCUUACGUCCGGGGCUACACACGUGUUACAAUGGGGGGUACAGAGGGCCGCUACCACGCGAGUGGAUGCCAAUCCCAAAAACCUCUCUCAGUUCGGACUGGAGUCUGCAACCCGACUCCACGAAGCUGGAUUCGCUAGUAAUCGCGCAUCAGCCACGGCGCGGUGAAUACGUUCCCGGGCCUUGUACACACCGCCCGUCAAGCCAUGGGAGCCGGGGGUACCUGAAGUGCGUAACCGGGAGGAGCGCCCUAGGGUAAAACUGGUG